This 74-nucleotide transfer RNA is filed under the name Alphaproteobacteria bacterium. RNAcentral describes it as "tRNA-Val". It matches the Rfam family "tRNA". From Rfam's summary of the family: Transfer RNA (tRNA) molecules are approximately 80 nucleotides in length. Their secondary structure includes four short double-helical elements and three loops (D, anti-codon, and T loops). Lineage: Bacteria; Pseudomonadati; Pseudomonadota; Alphaproteobacteria. The record is from RNAcentral.
AGUCGGUUGGUCCAGCCCGGUAAGACACCUGCCCGACACGCAGGGGAUCAUCGGUUCAAAUCCGAUACCGACUA